RNAcentral lists this long non-coding RNA (442 nucleotides) under Physcomitrium patens. Its description in RNAcentral is "long non-coding RNA (PPAT_LNC012848)". The record is from RNAcentral. Lineage: Eukaryota; Viridiplantae; Streptophyta; Bryopsida; Funariales; Funariaceae.
GAAGUGGUUAGCACUAUUUAGAUUUGUUUGAAGAUACUAAGAAAAAUAUAGGUGAUUCUAUCUUAUUAGAUGAAUUCUUCAAUGAUAAUUACUUUAUAAUGGUAUGCUUCCUAUCUCUCUUUGUAUUCACAUAGGACGUGGUAGACAUUGAUUAUUAUAUUUGUAUUUAUGAUGAUCUAUUCUUUUGACUUGGGUAGGAUAGAAUGUGUGGGUGUCCAUAGAAGGCAUGACACUUCUUUGUUAUAUUGUAAAUAUAUGUUAUGAGAUUUGAUCUUUUACUAUAAUAUAUUGCCUUAUAAUCAAUCUUGAGUAUAUUUAUUUUAGAAGACAUUGAUACUAAAGACUUGAUUUUGUCUUAAUGUGCUAUAUUGCGAUGCUCAAUAAGUACCUAGUUUUAUGCUAUUAUUAUUAAGGAUGAAGAAAUUUCCAAAGAGAGAUUAAC